AUUGAACGCUGGCGGCAUGCCUUACACAUGCAAGUCGAACGGCAGCACGGGAGCAAUCCUGGUGGCGAGUGGCGAACGGGUGAGUAAUGUAUCGGAACGUGCCCAGUCGUGGGGGAUAACGUAGCGAAAGCUACGCUAAUACCGCAUACGAUCUAUGGAUGAAAGCGGGGGAUCGCAAGACCUCGCGCGAUUGGAGCGGCCGAUAUCAGAUUAGGUAGUCGGUGGGGUAAAGGCUCACCAAGCCGACGAUCUGUAGCUGGUCUGAGAGGACGACCAGCCACACUGGGACUGAGACACGGCCCAGACUCCUACGGGAGGCAGCAGUGGGGAAUUUUGGACAAUGGGCGCAAGCCUGAUCCAGCAAUGCCGCGUGCAGGAUGAAGGCCUUCGGGUUGUAAACUGCUUUUGUACGGAACGAAACGGCGAGCUCUAAUACAGGGGGCUAAUGACGGUACCGUAAGAAUAAGCACCGGCUAACUACGUGCCAGCCGCCGCGGUAA
RNAcentral lists this ribosomal RNA (500 nucleotides) under uncultured bacterium. RNAcentral describes it as "partial 16S ribosomal RNA". It matches the Rfam family "Bacterial small subunit ribosomal RNA", at positions 29 to 523 of the family's 1533-position model. The record is from RNAcentral.